This 154-nucleotide small RNA is filed under the name Olea europaea subsp. europaea. The record is from RNAcentral. Lineage: Eukaryota; Viridiplantae; Streptophyta; Magnoliopsida; Lamiales; Oleaceae.
GAAAAGGAUUGAAAUCGAUUUUUAUUGACCAAUCAGAAUUCUCUCCCAGGGUCUAUAAUUGCCUCAAAAUGUCGAAUAGUCUAAUAGAUCUUUUAAAGAAUUGAUUAAUAGGACGAGAAUAAAGAUAGAGUCCCAUUCUACAUGUCAAUACCAA